Molecule: unclassified non-coding RNA, 220 nt
Filed under: soil metagenome
Description: partial contains 5.8S ribosomal RNA, internal transcribed spacer 2, and large subunit ribosomal RNA
Source: RNAcentral
AACCAUAGAAACCUGCGGAGUACCUGCGGAAGGAUCAUUACCGAGCGUUGCCCCCCUGAAAAAUGGGGGGUGCCUCCCGUCCUUGCAGGCCCCUAGGGGCUCUCGAACCUUUCUGCUUCGGCGGGUCCACCCCGCCAGAACACCCUCAGAAAACUCUUGUUGAAACGGUUCCGUCCGAGGGCUUUUGAAAAAUCUAGCCAAAACUUUCAACAACGGAUCU